AAAAUAUCAAGGUCUGAGAUGACCCAGAAAGCACUAUCAAUUUAAGAAAGCCUACUUGGGUAUUGAGCAUUUACAAAUAAGAAAUGAGUUUUUCACAAUAGAUAGUUGUGUAACUCCGUAAAACAGAAUCGAGUCCAUUUUCUUACAUAUAAACUUUUCUAUAGGUAUACUCGGUUCGUUUGAUUGAUGCUCGAGCCGGAUGA
Molecule: long non-coding RNA, 203 nt
Filed under: Arachis ipaensis
Lineage: Eukaryota; Viridiplantae; Streptophyta; Magnoliopsida; Fabales; Fabaceae
Description: long non-coding RNA (AIPA_LNC000038)
Source: RNAcentral